Molecule: ribosomal RNA, 468 nt
Filed under: uncultured bacterium
Lineage: Bacteria
Description: partial 16S ribosomal RNA
Rfam family: Bacterial small subunit ribosomal RNA
Source: RNAcentral
GACGAACGCUGGCGGCGUGCUUAACACAUGCAAGUCGAACGGAAAGGCCCUGCUUUUGUGGGGUGCUCGAGUGGCGAACGGGUGAGUAACACGUGAUUAACCUGCCCUUGACUUUGGGAUAACUUCAGGAAACUGGGGCUAAUACCGGAUAGGAGCUCCUGCUGCAUGGUGGGGGUUGGAAAGUUUCGGCGGGUGGGGAUGGACUCGCGGCUUAUCAGCUUGUUGGUGGGGUAGUGGCUUACCAAGGCUUUGACGGGUAGCCGGCCUGAGAGGGUGACCGGACAAAUUGGGACUGAGAUAAGGCCCAGACUCCUACGGGAGGCAGGAGUGGGGAAGAUUGCACAAGGGGAGGAAGCCUGAUGCAGCAACGCCGCGUGCGGGAUGACAGGCUUCGGGUUGGAAAGCGCUUUCGCCUGUGACGAAGAGUGAGUGACGGUAAUGGGUAAAGAAGCACCGGCUAACUACGUG